RNAcentral lists this long non-coding RNA (175 nucleotides) under Anas platyrhynchos platyrhynchos (common mallard). RNAcentral describes it as "lncRNA (ENSAPLG00000028779.1)". The record is from RNAcentral. Lineage: Eukaryota; Metazoa; Chordata; Aves; Anseriformes; Anatidae.
CGUCCUCAGCGUGAGAAAAGUGUGCGUGGCAGCAGAUUGUGUUCUGACAAAAGAAGCGAGCGAGAGCCCUACGAUGUGAAUUUCAGCUCACCAUCCUGAAGGGCCUUUCCAUACUAGCCAGUAAGUUGAUUUUUAUUUUUAAUUUUUAUUUUUAUUUUACAUUGAUAGCUUCUUG